RNAcentral lists this ribosomal RNA (253 nucleotides) under uncultured bacterium. RNAcentral describes it as "partial 16S ribosomal RNA". It matches the Rfam family "Bacterial small subunit ribosomal RNA", at positions 524 to 776 of the family's 1533-position model. The record is from RNAcentral.
UACGUAGGGUGCGAGCGUUGUCCGGAAUUAUUGGGCGUAAAGAGCUCGUAGGCGGUUUGUCGCGUCGACUGUGAAAACCCGAGGCUUAACCUCGGGCCUGCAGUCGAUACGGGCAGACUAGAGUUCGGUAGGGGAGACUGGAAUUCCUGGUGUAGCGGUGAAAUGCGCAGAUAUCAGGAGGAACACCGAUGGCGAAGGCAGCCCCCUGGGUCAAGACUGACGCUCAUGCACGAAAGCGUGGGGAGCAAACAGG